AUCUUGACCUCAGAUCAGGCAAGGCUACCCGCUGAAUUUAAGCAUAUUAAUAAGCGGAGGAAAAGAAACUAACAAGGAUUCCCUCAGUAACAGCGAGUGAAGCGGGAACAGCUCAAAUUUGAAAUCUCCGACCUUUGGGUCGGCGAGUUGUAGUUGCGAGAAGCACUUUCUAGGUGGACCGGUGGUGCYUAAGUUGCUUGGAACAGUACGUCAUAGAGGGUGACAACCCCGU
This 232-nucleotide ribosomal RNA is filed under the name Goniopora tenuidens. RNAcentral's name for it is "partial 28S rRNA". It matches the Rfam family "Eukaryotic large subunit ribosomal RNA", at positions 1 to 224 of the family's 3401-position model. The record is from RNAcentral. Lineage: Eukaryota; Metazoa; Cnidaria; Anthozoa; Scleractinia; Poritidae.